ACUCCUACGGGAGGCAGCAGUGGGGAAUAUUGCACAAUGGGCGCAAGCCUGAUGCAGCCAUGCCGCGUGUAUGAAGAAGGCCUUCGGGUUGUAAAGCACUUUCAGUAGGGAGGAAGGUAGUGUAGUUAACACCUGCAUUAUUUGACGUUACCUACAGAAAGCACUGCUGAACUCCGUGCCAGCAGCCGCGGUAAUACGGAGGGUGCGAGCGUUAAUCGGAAUUACUGGGCGUAAAGCGCAUGCAGGCGGCCUGUUAAGUCAGAUGUGAAAGCCCGGGGCUUAACCUCGGAAUUGCAUUUGAAACUGGCAGGCUAGAGUCUUGUAGAGGGGGGUAGAAUUUCAGGUGUAGCGGUGAAAUGCGUAGAGAUCUGAAGGAAUACCAGUGGCGAAGGCGGCCCCCUGGACAAAGACUGACGCUCAGAUGCGAAAGCGUGGGGAGCAAACAGGAUUAGAUACCCUGGUAGGAUAG
RNAcentral lists this ribosomal RNA (469 nucleotides) under uncultured bacterium. Its description in RNAcentral is "bacterial SSU rRNA". It matches the Rfam family "Bacterial small subunit ribosomal RNA", at positions 335 to 798 of the family's 1533-position model. The record is from RNAcentral.